GCCGCCACGUGACCUACGCGUCCCUUCCGGUGGCGCGGUAGUCCGUGAAGUUAGGUGAAAGUGACUUCCGAAAGGGCCGAAGGCACUUCCGGUCGACGUGACUUUAAGCAUCCGUGCCCGCCCGAGCCGCCGCGCUGACCACCGAGUCACGACUGGAGCGGUCGGGCCGGGCCUGUUCCCCGACCAGACUGAUGUUCAGACGCCCGCGCACCCGGCAGUGCCCAUAAACAUCUGUCCAUCGGAGUAAUGAACCCGCAGCUGGGAGGCAGCUAAAUCUGAGUGUUGGGAAGACGGCCGGCUUGAGGUCAACCCCCAGGGCCAUCAGCCUUUCUGAGCCUGUUUCCUCCACUGAGAAAGGAACACCAUCACAGCGCCCACCUCGGGCUGAGGUCUCCGCGAGGGGUGCCUAUGAGGGCUAAGCGGGCGCGCCAGGCCCCCUGGCCCUCACCUGUCUCCCUCUGAUUGGGCGGCGGCAUUUUCACUGACAGCGUGGCUGAGAGAUGAUCUGGAAAUAGCCAUCGCUGUCAGAGAUUGCCCCUUCUGGCUUAACCCCACUCCUGCCUGGGGCCCAACAAGAUCAUGACCACACUCUCCAAGCUGAGAAGGCCUCCCUUAGCGUAGCCGCUUUGGGUUGACCUCUGCCCUGAAGGUCCUGCCUCAGCAGGGCAACACCAGGAAGGUGAAGAUGGAGAAAAAGCUGGGGGCGGCGGGAGCUGUCUCCCAAACCACACCCGCCAGCCACGGCCCUUCCCUUUCAGGGCGGUGGGCAUGAGGUGGGGACAGGGCAGCCGUGACUUUAGAGUUAAGCUACAGGGGGCAGGGAGGGUGGGUGUUCUUUUCUGUCAUGUGAAGACAGACUCAAACUUCCCUGGAGCCCAAGGGCCCUGACCACAGCAAUCAUCCAUUCCCCGCGUGUGCACAGGGAGAAACUGAGGCCCAGAGAGAGGGGCAGUGACAACCAAGGUCAUUCAGCAGAUCCAGCUCCCACCUCAAGCUCACUGGCCAUAAGGGGCCGUCUCCUUCCAAAAGGAACCCUUGUGAUAGCAGGGGGCGGGGACUCCCUGGGGCCUGGCAAGAAGAGCAUGAAUGAAGAACGCACGAUUCUGGCUGUGACCUGGUGUGUGGCCUCAGGCCUCAUUUCCUCCAUCAGCCAAUGUCACCUCCUCCAGGACAUCUCUGGCCUCUCAAAGAUGCUGUCAGGUGCCCCUUACCACAGCCCUUGCCACCCUCUGCUGCCAUCGCAUGUCCUCGUGUCUGACUCCCGCCUCAGCACGGGAGCCUUGUCUGCGCUGAUCCCAGUGCCAGCAGAUGCUUGCUCCUCACCUGCAGGUGUCUGGGUUGAGCUCUAAGCCCCGCCCUUGGCAACGGAGGAAGCUGCGGCGUCGGCAGCGGCAGUGACAGGUCCGGG
This is a non-coding RNA of Equus caballus (horse), 1408 nucleotides long. The record is from RefSeq and is a predicted model, not a curated record. NCBI's taxonomy places the organism in Eukaryota, Metazoa, Chordata, Mammalia, Perissodactyla, Equidae.